AGUGACUCCCCGGGCGGUUUAUCCACCUGAUUUGAGAGCCUGUGUCCGCGCCAAAGCCUCCACAGACACGUUUGUAAUGGUUUUUUUUUUUUUUAAGGAUUUUAUUUAUUUAUUCAUGAGACACACAGAGAGAGGCAGAGACCCAGGCAGAGGGAGAAGCAGGCUUCCUGCAGGGAGCCCGACCUGGGACUCGAUCUGGGACCCGGGGUCACGCCCUGGGCCGGAGGCAGCCGCUCCUCCGCUGAGCCCCCCGGGCGCCCCUGUAAUGGUUUUAUUGCCAAGGGCCGGGAGCCGACCACAGGCCCAUGAGGAGGUGACCGUGGGCCGCGCACGUGGGACAGUGGCCGGUGAUCAGGCCGGAGGCAGCGGCCGGGGACUCAGGGAAGCCACAGAGCUGGGCUCGAAAGCCAAAAAGGCGACUCAGUAGGUCAGGGGACCGCAGGAAGGACAAGGAGACAAGCCACGGCAGGAGGACCCGGGCAGGAGGACCCCGGCAGGGGGACUGGGUCUGUGACAGGGGCCUGGAGCUGCAGCGGGACGGAGGCGGUUUCCCCGGGGCGCUCGUCACACCCUGGCCCCCGGCAGGUGCGCUGGGACUGGGUGGCGGAGUCGCUGGGUGCUGGCUGCUGGGUGCUGGGUGCUGCGAGCCGGGUUGCCUGCCGUGGGGUGGGAGUUGGCCGAGAAGCAGGGGGCUGGGGCUGGAGGUGGGAAGGCCGUGGGUGCUCUCGGUUGCUUUACAAGAAGCACAGGCGGUCGCAGGUAGGAAGGUGCGUGCACCUGUGUGCACGUGAGCACAUGCACGCGUCACUCCCCGCUCUGUCACCAGAAGGGGCUGCAAGCCAGGGCACCCCAGGGGCACUGAGCACGCCCAGCCGCCCCAGUGUGGCCUCUGAUUCCAUCCUCCAAGGAAAGGAGAAGCUGGAGGCCAGCCGACCCUAGGACCGAGGCGGGGGUGUCCAGGGAGCCUGCUGCGUCCCGCCGGGGCCAGAGGGGGGACACGCGGGCGACGAUCCACACCGCGGGGCCUUUGGAGUGAAGCAGUAAGUGGAUUACAGCCCACAGCAUCCCGGAUACUGAAAUAUCCACUGGUGGGGACACACGACAAAUGAGGGGAUGGAGGACACACGAGCUCCCACGCAGACCUGGGAAUCAUUUAUGGAGAGGCUCCCCGCUCGAGAAGGAGAGGCGUAGGCGGAGCAGGACCCCUGGGCCCACGCGGUGACGUCCCCCCAAAGAGAAUGGUCACACGCCCUGAGGACAAUGAACACACCCCAGCCAGGGCUCACGGCCCGUCCUCGGUGACAAAUCACACUGACAGCAGGGACCCCUGAGUGACGUGAUGAGAAGCCUUCAGCUCCGUGGUCUUCCUCCCCAAACCCAUCGCCCAACGUGAGACAUGUCCCGAUGGAGGGAGGGUCCCAGCACCCCCAGAACUGCUGGGCCACCUGAAACCAAGGACAGGAGAGCCAGCACAGCCCAGAGGCGUCGGGGAAAUGUGACGUUCAGGGUGGAGAGAGGGUGUGACGGGAACCAAGGAAACCUGAACAGAGUGUAGACUUUGAUUAACCACAGGGAGCCUGUGCUGGUCCCAGAUUCGGAUUCGUGGGGAGGGCGGGAGACGUGGGGCGGGGCGGAUGGGGACUCGGGACAGCCGUGACCCCCGAGUUCUGGGAAUCCGAAACUGUCCUAAGAUUGAAAGUUGAUUAAAAAGAAAAUGAAGAAAAAUUUUAAAAUUAAAAAAAAAAGAAAAUGAAGGAUGGAAGGGAGGGAGGUAGGGAGGGGAGGAAGAGAAAGAAGCAGCAGACAAUGGGCAUCGCUGGGGGUGGGGUGGGGGGGGCGUCGAACACCCCGCAUGAACGUGUCUUUUCCUCUUCAAGGCACAGGAGAGAAACAGACGGCCUACCCCGGGCUCACAAGCUCUCCUCAGCGAUACACGGUGAUACACGGCGAUCACUUCUCCUUUAUACUUCCCAAGUGCUUGGGGCGCGCGGGGGGCUCAGCGGUUGAGCCCCUGCCUUGGCCCAGGGCGUGACCCCAGGGUCCCGGGAUCGGAUCCCACAUCAGGCCCCCCGCAUGGAGCCUGCUUCUCCCUCUACCUGUGUCUCUGCCUCUCUCUGUGUCUCUUAUGAAUAAAUAAAUUAAAUCUUAAAAAAAUAUAUUUUCCAAGUGCUUUACCUUUACACACAGACAUGAUGCAUUAUUUCUU
This 2206-nucleotide long non-coding RNA is filed under the name Canis lupus familiaris (dog). Its description in RNAcentral is "lncRNA (ENSCAFG00845010665.1)". The record is from RNAcentral. Lineage: Eukaryota; Metazoa; Chordata; Mammalia; Carnivora; Canidae.